GACGAACGCUGGCGGCGUGCUUAACACAUGCAAGUCGAACGGAAAGGCCCCCUUGUGGGGUACUCGAGUGGCGAACGGGUGAGUAACACGUGAGUAACCUACCCUUGACUUUGGGAUAACUUCAGGAAACUGGGGCUAAUACCGGAUAGGAGCUCCUGCUGCAUGGUGGGGGUUGGAAAGUUUGGGCGGUUGGGGAUUGACUCGCGGCUUAUCAGCUUGUUGGUGGGGUAGUGGCUCACGAAGGCUUUGACGGGUAGCCGGCCUGAGAGGGUGACCGGCGACAUGGGGACUGAGAGACGGCGCAGACGCCUACGGGAGGCAGCAGUGGGGAAUAUGGCACAAUGGGCGGAAGCCUGAUGCAGCAACGCCGCGUGCGGGAUGACGGCCUUCGGGGGGAAAACAGCUUUCGCCGGUGACGAAGAGUGAGUGACGGUAAUGGGUAAAGAAGCACCGGCUAACUACGUG
Molecule: ribosomal RNA, 465 nt
Filed under: uncultured bacterium
Lineage: Bacteria
Description: partial 16S ribosomal RNA
Rfam family: Bacterial small subunit ribosomal RNA
Source: RNAcentral